GUGAAUCCGGUGGCAGAGGGAGGGGUAAAACGGAGGGGCUGAGGUGUAAGCGGAAUGUCUGGGGGUAAAGCGGGCGCAUGCGGUGUGUUAAGCGAGAUGUAAAAGCCCUGGGCUCAACCUAGGAAUAGCAUUUCGAACUGGCGAACUAGAGUCUUGUAGAGGGGGGUAGAAUUCCAGGUGUAGCGGUGAAAUGCGUAGAGAUCUGGAGGAAUACCGGUGGCGAAGGCGGCCCCCUGGACAAAGACUGACGCUCAUGCACGAAAGCGUGGGGAGCAAACAGGAUUAGAUACGCGAGUAGUC
RNAcentral lists this ribosomal RNA (300 nucleotides) under uncultured Amycolatopsis sp. Its description in RNAcentral is "bacterial SSU rRNA". The stretch from base 52 to 300 matches the Rfam family "Bacterial small subunit ribosomal RNA", at positions 547 to 795 of the family's 1533-position model. Lineage: Bacteria; Bacillati; Actinomycetota; Actinomycetes; Pseudonocardiales; Pseudonocardiaceae. The record is from RNAcentral.